Molecule: ribosomal RNA, 910 nt
Filed under: Alteromonadales bacterium
Lineage: Bacteria; Pseudomonadati; Pseudomonadota; Gammaproteobacteria; Alteromonadales
Description: bacterial SSU rRNA
Rfam family: Bacterial small subunit ribosomal RNA
Source: RNAcentral
GGAGCUCUCCCAUAUGGUCGACCUGCAGGCGGCCGCGAAUUCACUAGUGAUUGUUUGAUCCUGGCUCAGAUUGAACGCUGGCGGCAGGCUUAACACAUGCAAGUCGAACGGUAACAGAGAAUAGCUUGCUAUUUUGCUGACGAGUGGCGGACGGGUGAGUAAUGCUUGGGAAUUUGCCGAAAGGUGGGGGACAACAGUUGGAAACGACUGCUAAUACCGCAUAAUGUCUACGGACCAAAGGUGGCCUCUAUUUAUAUGCUAUCGCCUUUCGAUGAGCCCAAGUGGGAUUAGCUAGUUGGUAAGGUAAUGGCUUACCAAGGCGACGAUCCCUAGCUGGUCUUAGAGGAUGACCAGCCACACUGGAACUGAGACACGGUCCAGACUCCUACGGGAGGCAGCAGUGGGGAAUAUUGCACAAUGGGGGAAACCCUGAUGCAGCCAUGCCGCGUGUGUGAAGAAGGCUUUCGGGUUGUAAAGCACUUUCAGCGAGGAGGAAAGGGUGAUGGCUAAUAUCCAUUAUCUGUGACGUUACUCGCAGAAGAAGCACCGGCUAACUCCGUGCCAGCAGCCGCGGUAAUACGGAGGGUGCAAGCGUUAAUCGGAAUUACUGGGCGUAAAGCGCGCGUAGGUGGUUAAUUAAGUCAGAUGUGAAAGCCCAGGGCUCAACCUUGGAACUGCAUUUGAAACUGGUUGACUAGAGUUUUGUAGAGGGUGGUAGAAUUUCAGGUGUAGCGGUGAAAUGCGUAGAGAUCUGAAGGAAUACCAGUGGCGAAGGCGGCCACCUGGACAAAGACUGACACUGAGGCGCGAAGGCGUGGGGAGCAAACGGGAUUAGAUACCCCGGUAGUCCACGCAGUAAACGAUGUCUAUUAGAAGUUUGUGGCUAUAUGCCGUGGGUUUCAAAGCUAAC